RNAcentral lists this ribosomal RNA (459 nucleotides) under uncultured bacterium. Its description in RNAcentral is "partial 16S ribosomal RNA". It matches the Rfam family "Bacterial small subunit ribosomal RNA", at positions 338 to 795 of the family's 1533-position model. The record is from RNAcentral.
CCUACGGGUGGCAGCAGUGAGGAAUAUUGGUCAAUGGCCGAGAGGCUGAACCAGCCAAGUCGCGUGAGGGAAGAAUGUCCUAUGGAUUGUAAACCUCUUUUGUCAGGGAGCAAAGUCACCCACGUGUGGGAGUUGGAGAGUACCUGAAGAAAAAGCAUCGGCUAACUCCGUGCCAGCAGCCGCGGUAAUACGGAGGAUGCGAGCGUUAUCCGGAUUUAUUGGGUUUAAAGGGUGCGUAGGCGGGUUAUCAAGUCAGCGGUAAAAUCGUGGAGCUAAACUCCGUCCAGCCGUUGAAACUGAUGAUAUAGAGUAGGCGAGAAGUAGGCGGAAUGCGUGGUGUAGGGGUAAAAUGCGUAGAUAUCAAGCAGAACACCGAUUGCGAAGGCAGCUUACCGGCGCCCGACUGACGCUGAAGCACGAAAGCGUGGGUAUCGAACAGGAUUAGAUACCCUGGUAGUC